Molecule: ribosomal RNA, 773 nt
Filed under: fungal sp.
Lineage: Eukaryota; Fungi
Description: eukaryotic LSU rRNA
Rfam family: Eukaryotic large subunit ribosomal RNA (bases 524-773)
Source: RNAcentral
CAUUAACCUUUCAAAACAGGGUGCGUCGCGGCCCCCGAGGUGCGGAAACAAGCCUCGAGCGGUUUGGGGUCCUCCCCUUCACGCGCGCACGACUGCCAUCCUUACUUUACGAGCACCUUCUGUUCUCCCUCGGCGGGGCAACCUGCCGUUGGAACCGAAUAAACUCUUUUUGCAUCUAGCAUUACCUGUUCCGAAACAAACAAUCGUUACAACUUUCAACAAUGGAUCUCUUGGCUCUGGCAUCGAUGAAGAACGCAGCGAAAUGCGAUAAGUAGUGUGAAUUGCAGAAUUCAGUGAAUCAUCGAAUCUUUGAACGCACAUUGCGCCCCUCGGUAUUCCGUGGGGCAUGCCUGUUCGAGCGUCAUCUACACCCUCAAGCUCUGCUUGGUGUUGGGCGUCUGUCCCGCCUCCGCGCGUGGACUCGCCCCAAAUUCAUUGGCAGCGGUCCUUGCCUCCUCUCGCGCAGCACAUUGCGCUUCUUGAGGGGCUCCGGUUCGCGUCCAACAAGCACAUUUACCGUCUUUGACCUCGGAUCAGGUAGGGAUACCCGCUGAACUUAAGCAUAUCAAUAAGCGGAGGAAAAGAAAGCAACAGCGAUAGCCUCAGUAACGGCGAGUGAAGCGGCUACAGCUCAAAUUUGAAAUCUGGCCUCCUUUGGGGGUCCGAGUUGUAAUUUGCAGAGGAUGCUUUGGCAUUGGCGGCGGUCUAAGUUCCUUGGAACAGGACAUCGCAGAGGGUGAGAAUCCCGUACGUGGGCGCCUGCCUUUGCCGUG